GCUGGGGUUGCCAAGUCUGGCCAAAGGCGGCAGACUCAAGAUCUGCUCCCGUAGGGGUUCCCAGGUUCAAAUCCUGGCCCCAGCA
RNAcentral lists this transfer RNA (85 nucleotides) under Methanobacteriota archaeon. Its description in RNAcentral is "Euryarchaeota archaeon (hot springs metagenome) tRNA-Leu". It matches the Rfam family "tRNA". Rfam says of the family: Transfer RNA (tRNA) molecules are approximately 80 nucleotides in length. Their secondary structure includes four short double-helical elements and three loops (D, anti-codon, and T loops). Lineage: Archaea; Methanobacteriati; Methanobacteriota. The record is from RNAcentral.